Molecule: ribosomal RNA, 465 nt
Filed under: uncultured Klebsiella sp.
Lineage: Bacteria; Pseudomonadati; Pseudomonadota; Gammaproteobacteria; Enterobacterales; Enterobacteriaceae
Description: bacterial SSU rRNA
Rfam family: Bacterial small subunit ribosomal RNA
Source: RNAcentral
CCUACGGGUGGCAGCAGUGGGGAAUAUUGCACAAUGGGCGCAAGCCUGAUGCAGCCAUGCCGCGUGUGUGAAGAAGGCCUUCGGGUUGUAAAGCACUUUCAGCGGGGAGGAAGGCGGUGAGGUUAAUAACCUCAUCGAUUGACGUUACCCGCAGAAGAAGCACCGGCUAACUCCGUGCCAGCAGCCGCGGUAAUACGGAGGGUGCAAGCGUUAAUCGGAAUUACUGGGCGUAAAGCGCACGCAGGCGGUCUGUCAAGUCGGAUGUGAAAUCCCCGGGCUCAACCGGGGAACUGCAUUCGAAACUGGCAGGCUAGAGUCUUGUAGAGGGGGGUAGAAUUCCAGGUGUAGCGGUGAAAUGCGUAGAGAUCUGGAGGAAUACCGGUGGCGAAGGCGGCCCCCUGGACAAAGACUGACGCUCAGGUGCGAAAGCGUGGGGAGCAAACAGGAUUAGAUACCCCGGUAGUC